AGAAAGUGUUGCUUGUCAUGAAAGUGAUGACGUUUCUGCUAAUGCUGAAGAGAAGGCGACGUCGGUACCAGCGGCAACCGCGACGAUGGUGGGUUCGGCCCGUGUUUGCAGCACGCAAGCAAGAAGGACUUUACUACAUAGCAAUGCGCCGUAUGCGUGGAGGCGACCACGCCUUCUUCAAGUUUUACCGUAUGACGCCUCAGAUGUUUGACACAUUGCUGACGUUUGUUGUAACAGACCUAACUUGUCAGAACUUCAUAAGAGAACCCUUGGAGCCGGCUGAACAGCUGGCAAUUGCAUUAAGGUACCCAGCAGAGCUGAGUUGGAGAAGAUAGCCCAGGGCCUUUCUAUGCGAUGGCAGUUCCCGAACUGCCUAGGUGCUGUGGACGGCAAACACGUUGCCAUUGUUAGCCCUCCUAACUCUGGCAGCGUCUACUUCAACUACAAGGGCACAUUGUCUGUGGUCCUAAUGGCUGUGGUCGACAGUGACUGCAAGUACACACUCAUUGAUGUGGGAGCCGAGGGUCGCCUCAGUUAUGGUGGCACAUUCAAAAACUCAGUUUGGACGUGCCCUCACUCAAGGAGACUUGGAUAUACCAUCACUGAGUUGGCUUCCUGGCUCUGCAACAAAUGCACCAUAUGCCUUCGUAGGCAACAAGGCUUUUCAGCUGAGAGAAGAUUUUCUUCGUCCUUAUCCAGCCAGGCAGCUUGAUGAUGAAAGACGGGUCUUCAACUAUAGGCUAAGCCGAGCAAGGCGCUGUGCAGAGAACGCAUUUGGGAUAACGGCGGCCAGAUGGAGAAUUCUGCUACGUGCCAUCCACUUGAAACCGAAGAGUGUGGACUUCGUUACAAAGGCUGCUUGUAUUCUGCACAAUUUUCUCAGUGUCCACAACCCACAGUCACACAAGUUCACCGAUACAGACGACAGCUUUGGUAACCUCGACGCAAGACAGUGGCGACAAGGUGUCCAACAAGCAUCAGGAAACAACUCGGAACCCCACUUCUUCCCGAUAAAGGCAACACAUUGCAGGAACUACCUCGGUGAUGCGGCAGCUGCCAGGAACCUUUUCGCAGCAUACUUUUGUAGCAGUGCUGGGGAGGUUCCUUGGCAAUGGAAUCUCCCUGGGGUGUCCAAAGAAGCAGUUGUCAAGUGGCUACGGGAGCAGACACAUCUAACAAUUCAGUGAUGUCUUUGGCUAGCAGCUCCCUGCUGACUUGGGGCAGCCGCUCCUUGUGCUGCUGACAUCAAGGCUGGUGCCGUAGACAACGUCGAAGCUGAUGUCGUAGAUGACGUCGAGGCUGACGAGACCUGUGACACUGACACCAAGCCUGACAGAUCAGAAAAAUCUGAUUGUGCAUCGAAGUCUUGGUCUUCGAACUGGGCAAUGCCCAUUAAAAUUUUUUCUGCACCAUUGUGCUGCUGGUU
This is a long non-coding RNA of Dermacentor albipictus, 1426 nucleotides long. RefSeq lists it as uncharacterized. NCBI's taxonomy places the organism in Eukaryota, Metazoa, Arthropoda, Arachnida, Ixodida, Ixodidae. The record is from RefSeq and is a predicted model, not a curated record.